Molecule: unclassified non-coding RNA, 552 nt
Filed under: Lytechinus variegatus (green sea urchin)
Lineage: Eukaryota; Metazoa; Echinodermata; Echinoidea; Temnopleuroida; Toxopneustidae
Description: uncharacterized LOC121411875, transcript variant X2
Source: RNAcentral
ACCUUACCUUUAUUACAGAAGAAAAGAAGGGUAAACUAUACCAAAGAGGAGCAGUUGCAGCUGGUGGAAUUUGUGAAGAGACGAAAAGUGGACCUGUUCGGGAAGGCAGGGUAUUGUGGAGUGAAGGUUGAGCAGAGAAAGCAAGGGACUUGGAAAGAGCUUGCUAUCCUACUCAGAAGCUGUGGGGGUCCAGAGAGGGAUUGGAGAGAGUUAAAAAAGAAGUGGCAGGAGCUGAAGAGCAGGGCUCUCAAAUGCACGGCCCACGCCAAGCUUACAGGAGGAGGACCCCCAAAGUCUAUAGAUUUUAUAUCUGAAAAGGUAUUGGAAGCCGUAGCAACCGAAGUGAGGGAGGGGCUGGCGAGCUCCCAGAACGAAGCUGGGUUGGGUGAAUGCACAAGCUCCCAGGAUUUGGAGGUUGCUGCCCUCGCCGAAGACACGAACCAGAGCAUGGUCAAUGAUGAAGAAGACUUGGACUUGGGAGAUGAUAUUGGGGAUAUUCAGGUUCUCUCUUUACUAUUUUAAGUAUUUAAAGCUUCUUUUUUAGGGUCAGCC